Molecule: ribosomal RNA, 253 nt
Filed under: uncultured bacterium
Lineage: Bacteria
Description: partial 16S ribosomal RNA
Rfam family: Bacterial small subunit ribosomal RNA
Source: RNAcentral
UACAGAGGGGGCAAGCGUUGUUCGGAAUUACUGGGCGUAAAGCGUGCGCAGGCGGUUUUGUAAGCCAGGUGUGAAAGCCCCGGGCUUAACCUGGGAAUGGCAUUUGGGACUGCAAGGCUGGAGUGUGGCAGAGGAGACUGGAAUUCCUGGUGUAGCAGUGAAAUGCGUAGAUAUCAGGAGGAAUACCGAUGGCGAAGGCAGGGCUCUGGGCUGACACUGACGCUCAUGCACGAAAGCGUGGGGAGCAAACAGG